CCCCAAAACUAUUGUAAGUCGCUCUGGAUAAGAGCGUCUGCUAAAUGACGUAAA
This is a non-coding RNA of Salmo salar (Atlantic salmon), 54 nucleotides long. The record is from Rfam. Lineage: Eukaryota; Metazoa; Chordata; Actinopteri; Salmoniformes; Salmonidae.